Molecule: ribosomal RNA, 253 nt
Filed under: uncultured bacterium
Lineage: Bacteria
Description: partial 16S ribosomal RNA
Rfam family: Bacterial small subunit ribosomal RNA
Source: RNAcentral
AACGUAGGAGACAAACGUUAUCCGGAGUUACUGGGCGUAAAGGGCGUGUAGGUGGUUUCGUAAGUCUGGCGUGAAAUUUCCCGGCUUAACCGGGAGUGGUCGUCGGAUACUGCGGGACUAGAGGACGGUAGAGGCGUGUGGAAUUCCGGGUGUAGCGGUGGAAUGCGUAGAGAUCCGGAAGAACACCGGUGGCGAAGGCGGCCUGCUGGGCUGUUGCUGACGCUGAGGCGCGACAGCGUGGGGAGCAAACAGG